CUGGUGUGUUCAGAGCCGGACUCUGUCAGACCAUAGAGUUCGGUUUAUACCACACCACAGAUCAGCUGGAGGAGAACCAGAACCAGAACUCUGAAGAACAGAGUCUGGAAGGAACUCUCUCUCCACACAU
Amphiprion ocellaris (clown anemonefish) is the source of this 130-nucleotide small nucleolar RNA. RefSeq annotates it as small nucleolar RNA SNORA11. Lineage: Eukaryota; Metazoa; Chordata; Actinopteri; Pomacentridae. The record is from RefSeq and is a predicted model, not a curated record. The transcript has a single exon.